GCACUGCUGAGGAGUCCCACAGUAGGACGAAACAGCUGUCUAAUGC
This 46-nucleotide non-coding RNA is filed under the name Schistosoma haematobium. The record is from RNAcentral. Lineage: Eukaryota; Metazoa; Platyhelminthes; Trematoda; Strigeidida; Schistosomatidae.